This 253-nucleotide ribosomal RNA is filed under the name uncultured bacterium. RNAcentral describes it as "partial 16S ribosomal RNA". It matches the Rfam family "Bacterial small subunit ribosomal RNA", at positions 524 to 776 of the family's 1533-position model. The record is from RNAcentral.
UACGUAGGGGGCAAGCGUUGUCCGGAAUUAUUGGGCGUAAAGAGCGCGUAGGCGGUCCGAUAAGUCGGCUGUGAAAGUCAGGGGCUCAACCCUUGGAAGCCGGCCGAUACUGUCGGACUAGAGUCCGGAAGAGGCGAGUGGAAUUCCCGGUGUAGCGGUGAAAUUCGUAGAUAUCGAGAGGAACACCGGCGGCGAAGGCGGCCAUCUGGACGAGGACUGACGCUGAGAUGCGAAAGCGUGGGGAGCAAACAGG